AGAGUUUGAUCCUGGCUCAGAACGUACGCUGGCGGCACGCCUAACACAUGCAAGUCGAACGAAGUAGCAAUACUUAGUGGCAGACGGGUGAGUAACAUGUAGGUAUCUGCCCUUUGGCCUGGAAUAACACGAGGAAACUUGUGCUAAUACCGGAUAAGUCUUUACGGAGAAAGCUUUAUGCACCAUUGGAUGAGCCUGCACUUGAUUAGUUUGUUGGUGGGGUAAUGGCCUACCAAGACUGUGAUCAAUAGCUGAUUUGAGAGGAUGAUCAGCCACAUUGGGACUGAGACACGGCCCAAACUCCUACGGGAGGCAGCAGUGGGGAAUCUUGCACAAUGGAGGAAACUCUGAUGCAGCGAUGCCGCGUGAGUGAAGAAGGCCCUUGGGUUGUAAAGCUCUUUCGUCGGGGAAGAAAAUGACUGUACCCGAAUAAGAAGGUCCGGCUAACUUCGUGCCAGCAGCCGCGGUAAUACGAAGGGACCUAGCGUAGUUCGGAAUUACUGGGCUUAAAGAGUUCGUAGGUGGUUGAAAAAGUUAGUGGUGAAAUCCCAGAGCUUAACUCUGGAACUGCCAUUAAAACUUUUCAGCUAGAGUAUGAUAGAGGAAAGCAGAAUUUCUAGUGUAGAGGUGAAAUUCGUAGAUAUUAGAAAGAAUACCAAUUGCGAAGGCAGCUUUCUGGAUCAUUACUGACACUGAGGAACGAAAGCAUGGGUAGCGAAGAGGAUUAGAUACCCUCGUAGUCCAUGCCGUAAACGAUGUGUGUUAGACGUUGGAAAUUUAUUUUCAGUGUCGCAGGGAAACCGAUAAACACACCGCCUGGGGAGUACGACCGCAAGGUUAAAACUCAAAUGAAUUGACGGGGACCCGCACAAGCAGUGGAGCAUGUGGUUUAAUUCGAAGAUACGCGCAGAACCUUACCAACACUUGACAUGUUCGUCGCGACUCUAAGAGAUUAGAGUUUUCGGUUCGGCCGGACGAAACACAGGUGCUGCAUGGCUGUCGUCAGCUCGUGUCGUGAGAUGUUGGGUUAAGUCCCGCAACGAGCGCAACCCUCACUUUUAGUUGCCAUCAUUAAGUUGGGCACUCUGAAAGAACUGCCAGUGAUAAGCUGGAGGAAGGUGGGGAUGACGUCAAGUCCUCAUGGCCCUUACGUGUUGGGCUACACACGUGCUACAAUGGUAUCUACAACAGGAAGCAAAACUGCGAAGUUAAGCAAAUCCCUAAAAGAUACCUCAGUUCGGAUUGCACUCUGCAACUCGAGUGCAUGAAGCUGGAAUUACUAGUAAUCGUGGAUCAGCGUGCCACGGUGAAUGCGUUCCCGGGUCUUGUACACACCGCCCGUCACACCAUGGGAGUUGGUUCUACCUUAAGGCAAGGUUUCAAACCCUUGACCACGGUAUAGUCAGCGACUGGGGUGAAGUCGUAACAAGGUA
Molecule: ribosomal RNA, 1433 nt
Filed under: uncultured bacterium
Lineage: Bacteria
Description: bacterial SSU rRNA
Rfam family: Bacterial small subunit ribosomal RNA
Source: RNAcentral